Molecule: long non-coding RNA, 199 nt
Filed under: Hordeum vulgare
Lineage: Eukaryota; Viridiplantae; Streptophyta; Magnoliopsida; Poales; Poaceae
Description: long non-coding RNA (HVUL_LNC019002)
Source: RNAcentral
GGAGAAGAAAUAAGUAAGUUUCAUAUCCAUUUAGCUCAAAAAAGACAUACUUAGCUAAUUUAGCUCCAAGAAGAGGAGAAGAGGAGAAAUUAAAAGAAGGAAGAAAAAGGAAGAAGAGAAGAAGAGAAGAAGAAGAAGAAGAAGGAGAAGAAGAAGAAGAAGGAGAAGAAGAAGGAGAAGAAGAAGGAGAAGAAGGAGG